This 930-nucleotide ribosomal RNA is filed under the name Triticum aestivum (bread wheat). Its description in RNAcentral is "partial small subunit ribosomal RNA". Lineage: Eukaryota; Viridiplantae; Streptophyta; Magnoliopsida; Poales; Poaceae. The record is from RNAcentral.
AUGGCGACAAUCAUCAUGAGAGUCGACCUUGACUGCGACCGAUGCUACAAGAAGAUCAGAAAGGUCCUCUGCAAGCUCCAAGACAGAGAAAACAUCAAGAUGAUCUCGUACGACGAGAAGAGCAACACGGUGACUGUGUCCGGCUCCUUCGACGCCGAGGAGGUCGCCGACAGGCUCUGCUCCGAUGCUGGCAAGGUGAUCACCGACGUACAAGUCGCCAGGGGGAACCAGAUGAACCCCAGUGCCAAGGUGGCGCCCAAGCAGCACGGCAAGGAGGGCCACGGCCCCGGCCCCGGCCCCCAAGCGCACGGUCACGGCCACGGCGCUGGGCCCCAAGCGCACAGUUACGGCGGCAAGCCGGAGAAGACCAAGCACGUCAAGUUCGGCAUGGAUGACGACGAACGAAUCGAUCGGCACGGCCCCGGACCGCAAGUGCACGGUCACGGCGGCAAGCCGGACAAGACCAAGCACGUCCAGUUCGGCAUGGAGGACGACGAACGAAUCGAUCGGCGCGGUCACCACGACCAAGGCCACGGACAAGGACAUGGACAUGGACACGGCAAUGGCCACGGCGGAAAGCCGAAGGUGGUAACUACCACGGCGAUGUCACGGAAUGAGGCCCCGCGCGGCCAGCAGCCGGCGUCCAUGGCGGCCAUGGCGCCGAUGCGGAUGCCGACGCCGGCGCCUAGCAUGACGAUGAUGCCGCAGGCGAUGGCCACGCCGUCCAUCUGGCCGGCCGCCCCUGGGUGGGGGUACAGCGCACCCGCAUACGGGUACGGGCACGCCGGAGGGGCACCUGCCGGCGGGUACUACGGCGGGCCCGUGUACGACCACGGCGCGUACGGGGCGUACGUCGGAGGGUACGGCAGGAAUCCGUACCAGCCGCAGUGCUACGAGGAGGAGCCUAGCGCUGGGUGCAUCGUCAUGUGA